Molecule: unclassified non-coding RNA, 347 nt
Filed under: Hevea brasiliensis (rubber tree)
Lineage: Eukaryota; Viridiplantae; Streptophyta; Magnoliopsida; Malpighiales; Euphorbiaceae
Source: RNAcentral
UUUUGUUCCUCUAGCCGAGAAAGUGAAAGAAAAGGAGAAAGAGAAAGAAACAGAAGAAGAAGAAGAAAAAGAAGAGGAAGAGGAAGAAGAAACAGAAGAAGAGGAAGAGAAAGAAACUGAAGAAGAAGAAGACAAAGAGGAAGAAAAGGAAGAAGAGGAAGAAGCUGAAGCAGAAAAAGAUGAUGAUGAUUCUGAUGAAAAUGGUAAUGGAGGCAGCAAAGAAGGGAGUGGGAAAGAGGUAGUGGGAAAGACAUGAGUGACUCAGAGUCUGAAGCAGAACCUGAGACACCUGCUCCUGCUGCUCCUGCAAAAGGAAAGGGCAAAACAGCUCAACAAGAACAAAGACG